AUUGAACGCUGGCGGCGUGCUUAACACAUGCAAGUCGAGCGGUAACAGGCGUAGCAAUACGUGCUGACGAGCGGCGAACGGGUGCGUAAUACAUCGGAAUCUGCCUCGUAGUGGGGAAUAACCCGGCGAAAGCCGGGCUAAUGCCGCAUACGAUCCACGGAUGAAAGCGGGGACGUAAGGCUCGCGCUAUGAGAUGAGCCGAUGUCGGA
This 209-nucleotide ribosomal RNA is filed under the name uncultured bacterium. RNAcentral describes it as "partial 16S ribosomal RNA". It matches the Rfam family "Bacterial small subunit ribosomal RNA", at positions 30 to 240 of the family's 1533-position model. The record is from RNAcentral.